UACGUAGGGUGCGAGCGUUGUCCGGAAUUAUUGGGCGUAAAGGGCUCGUAGGCGGUUUGUCGCGUCGGGAGUGAAAACCAGGUGCUUAACACCUGGCUUGCUUUCGAUACGGGCGGACUAGAGUUCGGUAGGGGAGACUGGAAUUCCUGGUGUAGCGGUGAAAUGCGCAGAUAUCAGGAGGAACACCGGUGGCGAAGGCGGGUCUCUGGGCCGAUACUGACGCUGAGGAGCGAAAGCGUGGGGAGCGAACAGG
Molecule: ribosomal RNA, 253 nt
Filed under: uncultured bacterium
Lineage: Bacteria
Description: partial 16S ribosomal RNA
Rfam family: Bacterial small subunit ribosomal RNA
Source: RNAcentral